UACGUAGGUGGCAAGCGUUGUCCGGAUUUACUGGGCGUAAAGAGCGCGCAGGCGGUCGUUCAAGUCGCGUGUGAAAGCCCCCGGCUCAACUGGGGAGGGUCACGCGAUACUGAUCGACUCGAAGGCAGGAGAGGGAGGUGGAAUUCCCGGUGUAGUGGUGAAAUGCGUAGAUAUCGGGAGGAACACCAGUGGCGAAGGCGACUUCCUGGCCUGUUCUUGACGCUGAGGCGCGAAAGCUAGGGGAGCAAACGGG
RNAcentral lists this ribosomal RNA (253 nucleotides) under uncultured bacterium. RNAcentral's name for it is "partial 16S ribosomal RNA". It matches the Rfam family "Bacterial small subunit ribosomal RNA", at positions 524 to 776 of the family's 1533-position model. The record is from RNAcentral.